AAAUAAAAAUUCCGAACAAUUGAACACUGUAUUAACUCCUUUAUUGGCUUCGUUUGGUUUGGGUAUAAGCAGGAACUAACUAUUACAGAAAUAGAUAUAAGUAUGGAGAUAAGAAAAAUAACAUUUGAAUGAAAAUUAAAUUGUUUCUGAAAAUAUGAAAAAUAACAUUUAGAUAGAUAAUAUGAAAUAAGAAAAAUAAUUAGUAGUUAUAUAUAGAAAAUGAAGGUGUUGGUGAAGAUAAUUAUACCAGCUUAUUUCAGAUAUUCGAGAACUACUAUUUUCAAAUAAAAAAUUUACGUUUGGGUAUAAAGGGGGAUAAGGAGUUAUCCCUCCCCUUAUACUCGAUCCAAACGCUACCUUAAUGACCAAGGACAGUAAUCC
Molecule: long non-coding RNA, 381 nt
Filed under: Ananas comosus (pineapple)
Lineage: Eukaryota; Viridiplantae; Streptophyta; Magnoliopsida; Poales; Bromeliaceae
Description: long non-coding RNA (ACOM_LNC006552)
Source: RNAcentral